RNAcentral lists this transfer RNA (72 nucleotides) under Streptomyces hygroscopicus subsp. jinggangensis TL01. Its description in RNAcentral is "tRNA-Gln". The record is from RNAcentral. Lineage: Bacteria; Bacillati; Actinomycetota; Actinomycetes; Kitasatosporales; Streptomycetaceae.
CGUUUUGGAGCCCCGUCCACCUUCAGGUAAUGUUCUUCCUGCGCCGAGGGGAGCGGGCCGGAAGGCCGGAGC